RNAcentral lists this transfer RNA (67 nucleotides) under Histeroidea sp. 3 KM-2017. RNAcentral's name for it is "tRNA-Val". The record is from RNAcentral. Lineage: Eukaryota; Metazoa; Arthropoda; Insecta; Coleoptera.
CAGAUUAAAGCUUAUUAGAGCUUUUUAUUUACAUUAAAAUGAUAACUGUUUGUUCAGUUUAAUCUGA